Molecule: long non-coding RNA, 1115 nt
Filed under: Pan troglodytes (chimpanzee)
Lineage: Eukaryota; Metazoa; Chordata; Mammalia; Primates; Hominidae
Description: long non-coding RNA NONPTRT009095
Source: RNAcentral
CCAGAAGGUGACAUUUUAGUGGAAGGAAACGAACCAAUAAGAUAAGUAAAUUAUUUAGUUUGUCAAAUGGGACAGGUGCUACGGGGUGGGGGGAAUUAGCCAGGGAAGAGGCCCAGGAGUGCUGAUGAGAGGGAUAGAUUGCAAUUUUGAAAACGGAUCAAGGAAGGUCUCACCGAGGAGGUGAGAUGGGAAGCCAGGGGUGGUUGCAUCCCUGCUUUUGCUGCUUGACUCUGCUCUUACUCCUAGAGGGCACAAUCUGUCAGCAAAUCCUGCCUGCUGGGCCUUCUCAUCACAACCAGAGCCAAACCACUUCUCAGCACCUCCGUUGCUUCCGCCCUCGUCUGAGCCUCCACCGCUCUCACCUGGGCGCCCUAUUUCCACCUUGUGCCUUCUGUCGAUUCCUCACUCACCAGCCCGAGGAAUCCUUGCACAGAAGUCAGAUCACAUUCCUUCCCUGUUGUCAAGGGAAGAAGACAAAUGGGCAUGAGAAGGAGAGGAUCAGGGGCUUGGAAGCCAAGAUUUUGCCAAUUUGACUUAUGCAACUUGGGCAAAAAAAAAUUUUGAGCCUCAGUCUUUUCAUCUGUGAAAUAGGGAUAACAAACUCUGAUACGAGGGGUCAGUAGUGACAAGGAUGUGAAAGCAGCCAUGAUGGCAUGGCAGGGCCUAUCUGGAGUUUGGCCUUUGCAAGGGGGUAGAUGACACCCUUGUGUGUUCUAGGUCCUUUGAGAUAGAUUAUCUCACUGAAGGCUCAGCAACUCCGCGGUGUUCCCAGAGGCAAGAAGAGCCAUUUGGAGUUAGAGGUCUCAGCUGUGAAGCCAGAACAAUAAAAAUAAAAACAGCGCGGACUCCUGGGCAGCCUGGACCAGGGAACCAACUGCCCCAAGAGUUGCUGCUCACCAGGCUGGAAGGCAAGUGGGGUUGGGGGGUUGGGAGAUGGGAGUGACCUUACGGAGCCCCUGCUAUGUCCUCCGGCCCUUACAGAGUAAGGGUAAUCUCCAAGGCUCACAACAGGCCCUCUGUCUGGGUGGCCAGACCAGUCAGGAUUUGAACUCAGUUUUCCAAACAGUAACAAUUCCCAUCUGUUCAGCAGCUACUAUGCUUUACAGACUUGUGAC